AGGUAAAAGGCCUCUAAUACAUGGCAUAUGAGAUGAACAAGCGAGGAUCAAAAGAUCUCUUCAAUUGCCAUAAGCAAUCCCUAAGUCAAACAUCGAUCAUAAAGAAGUCAACUGAAAAUUCAAGUCAAUUUAAAAAAUAACAAAUAAAUAGCAAAUUCAUCAAAAAAAUUAUGAAAAUUUAAACUAAAUGAGGCGGGGUCAGGACAUCAUCA
Molecule: long non-coding RNA, 212 nt
Filed under: Lathyrus oleraceus (garden pea)
Lineage: Eukaryota; Viridiplantae; Streptophyta; Magnoliopsida; Fabales; Fabaceae
Description: Pisum sativum (pea) long non-coding RNA (PSAT_LNC018686)
Source: RNAcentral